This 178-nucleotide ribosomal RNA is filed under the name Enterobacter ludwigii. Its description in RNAcentral is "partial 23S ribosomal RNA". It matches the Rfam family "Bacterial large subunit ribosomal RNA", at positions 1 to 180 of the family's 2925-position model. Lineage: Bacteria; Pseudomonadati; Pseudomonadota; Gammaproteobacteria; Enterobacterales; Enterobacteriaceae. The record is from RNAcentral.
GGUUAAGCGACUAAGCGUACACGGUGGAUGCCCUGGCAGUCAGAGGCGAUGAAGGACGUGCUAAUCUGCGAAAAGCGCCGGCGAGGUGAUAUGAACCUUUGACCCGGCGAUGUCCGAAUGGGGAAACCCAGUGUGUUCCGACACACUAUCGUUAACUGAAUACAUAGGUUAACGAGGC